GUAAAAUGGGUCUAUGGAAUCACUGUUGGUUUGAUCUUAGGUGCAAUCUAUUGGUGGUACUCAACUUUAACUUCGGAUUGGGGUUUUGCUUUUUUCAGGAAACCCUUUUUGUCUUUCUCCAAAUGGUCAAUGGAAAGUGAUGAAUCUACCACCAAUGGUUUGAAAACCGUGUUUCAUAAAGUAGCCCUCCCUGACUAUAACUCUAAGUUCAUCUUGAGAGAGGUGUAUAGAAGGAAAGUUUUCUUUAACUAUGAGAAGCGAUUAAGAUUGCGGAGUCUAUCGGAAAAGGGUAAAUGGUUGAAUACUUUGUGGAAUAUAUUUGGUUUACUUGCCUUUA
Long non-coding RNA from Gossypium arboreum, 337 nucleotides. RefSeq lists it as uncharacterized. The record is from RefSeq and is a predicted model, not a curated record. The transcript has 2 exons. NCBI's taxonomy places the organism in Eukaryota, Viridiplantae, Streptophyta, Magnoliopsida, Malvales, Malvaceae.